GAUCAUGGCUCAGGAUGAACGCUAGCUACAGGCUUAACACAUGCAAGUCGAGUGGCAGCAUCAUCAAAGCUUGCUUUGAUGGAUGGCGACCGGCGCACGGGUGAGUAACACGUAUCCAACCUGCCGACAACACUGGGAUAGCCUUUCGAAAGAAAGAUUAAUACCGGAUGGUAUAGUUUUCCCGCAUGGGGUGACUAUUAAAGAAUUUCGGUUGUCGAUGGGGAUGCGUUCCAUUAGG
Molecule: ribosomal RNA, 238 nt
Filed under: uncultured bacterium
Lineage: Bacteria
Description: partial 16S ribosomal RNA
Rfam family: Bacterial small subunit ribosomal RNA
Source: RNAcentral